This 76-nucleotide transfer RNA is filed under the name Caudoviricetes sp. Its description in RNAcentral is "tRNA-Pro". It matches the Rfam family "tRNA". From Rfam's summary of the family: Transfer RNA (tRNA) molecules are approximately 80 nucleotides in length. Their secondary structure includes four short double-helical elements and three loops (D, anti-codon, and T loops). Further hydrogen bonds mediate the characteristic L-shaped molecular structure. tRNAs have two regions of fundamental functional importance: the anti-codon, which is responsible for specific mRNA codon recognition, and the 3' end, to which the tRNAs corresponding amino acid is attached (by aminoacyl-tRNA synthetases). tRNAs cope with the degeneracy of the genetic code in two manners: having more than one tRNA (with a specific anti-codon) for a particular amino acid; and 'wobble' base-pairing, i.e. permitting non-standard base-pairing at the 3rd anti-codon position. The record is from RNAcentral. Lineage: Duplodnaviria; Heunggongvirae; Uroviricota; Caudoviricetes.
CAAAGCGUAGUUCAGUUGGUAGAAUGCAUGUUUUGGGAACAUGAGGUCAUAGGUUCAAAUCCUAUCGCUUUGACCA